GACGAACGCUGGCGGCGUGCCUAAUACAUGCAAGUCGAACGCAUUUUCUUUCACCGUAGCUUGCUACACCGAAAGAAAAUGAGUGGCGAACGGGUGAGUAACACGUGGGUAACCUGCCCAUCAGCGGGGGAUAACACUUGGAAACAGGUGCUAAUACCGCAUAAUUCCAUUUACUGCAUGGUAGAUGGAUGAAAGGCGCUUUUGCGUCACUGAUGGAUGGACCCGCGGUGCAUUAGCUAGUUGGUGGGGUAACGGCCUACCAAGGCUGCGAUGCAUAGCCGACCUGAGAGGGUGAUCGGCCACACUGGGACUGAGACACGGCCCAGACUCCUACGGGAGGCAGCAGUAGGGAAUCUUCGGCAAUGGACGCAAGGCUGACCGAGCAACGCCGCGGGAGUGAAGAAGGGUUUCGGACCGUAAAACUCUGUUGUUAGAAAAGAACAAGGAUGAGAGUGGAAAGUUCAUCCCUUGACGGUAUCUAACCAGAAAGCCACGGCUAACUACGUG
This 507-nucleotide ribosomal RNA is filed under the name uncultured bacterium. Its description in RNAcentral is "partial 16S ribosomal RNA". It matches the Rfam family "Bacterial small subunit ribosomal RNA", at positions 28 to 507 of the family's 1533-position model. The record is from RNAcentral.